UACGUAGGGAGCAAGCGUUGUCCGGAAUCAUUGGGCGUAAAGCGUGCGUAGUCGGUAUUGAGAGUCGCGGGUGAAAUCCCAGGGCUUAACCCUGGAACUGCCUGCGAGACCUCAGUACUAGAGUGUGAGAGGGGAUAGUGGAAUACCAAGUGUAGCGGUGAAAUGCGUAGAGAUUUGGUGGAACACCGGUGGCGAAGGCGGCUAUCUGGCUCACAACUGACGAUCAGGCACGAAAGCGUGGGGAGCAAACAGG
This 253-nucleotide ribosomal RNA is filed under the name uncultured bacterium. Its description in RNAcentral is "partial 16S ribosomal RNA". It matches the Rfam family "Bacterial small subunit ribosomal RNA", at positions 524 to 776 of the family's 1533-position model. The record is from RNAcentral.